UCGAACGGGCCGCAAGGCCAGUGGCGCAAGGGUGAGUAAGGCGAAGGUAACCAACCCCAUGGUCGGGUAUAGCCGCGGGAAACUGCGGGUAAUCCCCGGCGACGUCCGGGGGGGGCAUCCCCCCCUGACCAAAGUUUCGGCGCCGUGGGACGGGCCUUCGUGGUAUUAGGUCGUUGGCGGGGUAACGGCCCACCAAGCCUCUGAUGCCUACCGGGCGUGCGAGCGUGGCCCGGCACACUGGGACUGAGACACUGCCCAGACUCCUACGGGAGGCUGCAGUCGAGAAUCUUCGGCAAUGGGCGCAAGCCUGACCGAGCGACGCCGCGUGGAGGACGAAGGCCUUCGGGUUGUAAACUCCUGUCGAGGGGGAAGAAGCCUUAACCGGUUGACUGAUCCCUGGAGGAAGCACGGGCUAAGUUCGUGCCAGCAGCCGCGGUAAGACGAACCGUGCGAACGUUAUUCGGAAUCACUGGGCUUAAAGCGCGUGUAGGCGGGUCGGAACGUCGGUCGCUGAAAUCCCCCGGCUUAACCGGGGAACGGGCGCCGAAACGGCCGGCCUGGAGGAACGUAGGGGGAGCUGGAACUUCCGGUGGAGCGGUGAAAUGCGUUGAGAUCGGAAGGAACGCCCGUGGCGAAAGCGAGCUCCUGGACGUUUUCUGACGCUGAGACGCGAAAGCCAGGGGAGCGAACGGGAUUAGAUACCCCGGUAGUCCUGGCCGUAAACGAUGGGCACUGGGUAGGGGGCUCGCCGAUGGGCUCCCUGCCGCA
This 768-nucleotide ribosomal RNA is filed under the name uncultured bacterium. Its description in RNAcentral is "bacterial SSU rRNA". It matches the Rfam family "Bacterial small subunit ribosomal RNA", at positions 62 to 850 of the family's 1533-position model. The record is from RNAcentral.